CUGGCAUUUUCCAAGGGGUGCCUUGAGUCUAAAAAGGGUAGUAAGAGAUCUGUAGAAUUAGACAGUGAACAGGGAAUGUGAAGAAGUAAAUUUAGCACUUUUUGGGCUCUGUGUGCUUCUGCAGGACUUCCUUCCUGAAGUGCAUACUGUACCAUUUAAUGAGUGUCUGCUUUGAGACUACAGCAUGGCAACAGGGAAGAAAUGUAAGCUAAAAGUUACUCUCAAUUAUAUCUCCUUUGGACAGACACAAAGUAGGGAAGAAACAUACUGGUAGUUCUGGUGUGUAAACAUAGGACUAAAAAGGCCAUCACAAGGAACAAUUUGUGUGAAGUAUCCACAAAAUUAUCCACUCUGACUGGUCUCUCUCACUUCAUUCAGAAAGACCAUAUGGAUAAAAAAAUAGGGUCCUACUUAAGCUGCAGUUUCACAGAUUUUUACAGAAACCUCAAAAUCCAGAAUUGUCUGUGAAGUCUGCAAAAUCAACAACAACAAAACUUUAAAAAACUUAAUGAAAAUAAAAUGCUGGCUCCCUAGUGGGCACCAGCAGUCCUUGCUUCCAGGUGUGGAAAGUGCCAGCUGACAAGGCAGAAUGAAGGGCAGCAGACAAGAUGGCAACGAUCCGUCAUCCCUACUCCCCCUGCCAGGCCCUUUCUACCCAUCAGCACCAUGGGGCAGGGUUACAUGAAGGGCAGCCAGCAAUCAAGAAGGUGGCUGCCUCCUAAUCCCUCCUCCUCCCUGGGUGCUUCUCUGAUGAUCAGCACUGAGAGGUGAGGCAGGGUCUCUCAGUCAGCGCCAAGGGGCAGGGCCACCACUAAAUGACUGUGAUGCUAGAACUUUACACCACAAUCAAACUGCAAAAACUAGUAAAUCCCACCCCCCUCAUUUAGGUAGACCCCUAAAAAAAA
This is a long non-coding RNA of Gavialis gangeticus (Gharial), 905 nucleotides long. RefSeq lists it as uncharacterized. Lineage: Eukaryota; Metazoa; Chordata; Crocodylia; Gavialidae. The record is from RefSeq and is a predicted model, not a curated record. The transcript is spliced from 2 exons.